RNAcentral lists this long non-coding RNA (5917 nucleotides) under Coffea arabica (coffee). RNAcentral's name for it is "long non-coding RNA (CARA_LNC003865)". Lineage: Eukaryota; Viridiplantae; Streptophyta; Magnoliopsida; Gentianales; Rubiaceae. The record is from RNAcentral.
AGUUUUGGCCAAUGCAGAUACGAGGUCCCCAGCCAAAUGGGAAGAAUACAACUUGGCCCUUGGUUGCAUGUGAGACUCCAUCUGCAAACCUCUCUGGCUUAAAUUCCUUGACAUCCUCGCCCCAUAUUUCAGGGUCAUGAUGCAAUAAUAUUGUUGGUACGGUCAGUAGCUGUCCAGACGGGAAAGUUAGAUUUCCUAGUUUAGUUUCUUCAGCGACUGUUCGACCAAGAAUAGGAAAUGGUGGGUAUAGCCUUAAAACCUCAUGUAAGAUCAUUGUAACCUGUGAUAAAUCAAAGAGACUGAUUAGAUUUAGAGCUACAUGAGAAGCCUCGGUUUAUCAGUAAUUCAAGAACAUUUUGGAUUAAGAGUUCUUUUUUAGCUAGGUACAGUUUGUCAUGGCAUUGGGUACAUAAUUGACUUACAAUCCUCAGGCGAUUUAGUCCAUCAAAAUCUGGUAUGUUUGUCCCAAAAUGUUGCAAAACCUCUUCUCUAGCAUGUUCUUGCCAGUCCGGAUACAUGCUCAAUAAGAUCAUUGUCCAAACGAGCAGCACAGCAGUCGUCUCCUGCCCAGCAAAAUAGAACAGCUUGCACUCUUCAACGAUUUCUUUUGUAGUCAUGCCAAAUUCUUUGUCAGUUUCUUGAGAACUGGAUUCAAGUAAUAAACUCAACAUGUCAUCAUCACUGGCUUCCCCUGUUCGCAGUGCAUUUAGUCUAGUCCUGAUAAUUUCCCCAAUUGAAUCAUUAACUUCUUUCGCGAUUUGUUUCAUUCUUCUGUUCCUUUUAGUUGGCAGGAACCUGUGAAACAUAAUCACGUUAGCAAAGUGCCACAAAGGAAAAAAAAAAUCUUUGUUUAAAAUGCUUUUUUGCAUUUCAUUUUCUCGAAAUAUUAUUAUAACACGUUUUUCACUCGCUUUUUCACACAUAAACUAUUUGGAACAUUUAUAGGAUAAAUUUCGUAUGCACUAUCAGUGUAUACACAAGUAGAGCUUAAUGCAUAACAUAUAUACAAAACAUAACAUUCAAAUGUAAAUUGUGAUUAGUUAUAAUAGACUGGUAGAUUGUAGUUAAACAAGUUUAUCAUAUUGGGCAGUGAGCAUGUGAUACGUGUAUAAAUAACUAAAUUUACCAAGUAUUCAGAAUUUGUUUACCAAACCCAAAAAAAAAAAAAUAUUCUUACAUUGACGAUGUAUGCACGAACUGAUUUAGAUGUAUAAUAAAUAUGUAAAACUUAGAAAUGAGAUUUAUAUUUUGCACAUAUGUCAUGUACUUAAACUCGCUAAUAUAUACUCAGUAAAUGUAAAAAAGAUUAAUCCAACACAAUACUUCUAAACUACUUUACCUCAACCCGGGAAUAUACAUGGACUGUACAGCCUUGACCAAAUGUUGGGCUUGUUCUGUCUGCAAUUCAAAGAUCCUUCUUCCCUUUUCAUAUUUGCUGCCAAAUGCUGUCCUUGAAAUUGCAUCACCUGUCAUAGUCUGAAGAUGGGGCCAAACAUCCAACUCAAUUGACCCUUUUGCGGAAAUACCCUCCUCCCAUUUGCUCAACAUCUCACUUGCACUUGUGUAAAAUGCUGGUACCAUAAGCUAUAUCCCAAAAAAGGAAAAAAGAAAGACAGAAGAGUGAAUAAAAAAGAAAAAACUCCAUCAGUAUAUAUACUUCCUAAUUUUAGGAAUCGUUAGUUUUUUAUUUUCUCAAUAAUUAUUUUUUCCAGUAAACAAAUACGUAGGAGAAAAUAAGAAGAAACCUUCAACUUCUCCAUGUGGAAAGCUUGGUUGAGGAGCUUUCUGUGUUUGGCCCAUUUGUCCCCUUCAUAGACCAGUGUCCCUUGGGCGAGCAAUUUGGAAAGUGGGUGGAAUUGAGGCUUUUGAAAAAUUUCCAUCUUUUGUGUAACUUUCCUUGUGAGUUCUGGAUCCAUGAUUACCAUCGUUGGUUUUGGCCCAAACCAUAAAUAGGCAUUCUUUCCUACAAAUCCAAAUAUAUAUCACACAAAUCAACUGAAAUUCAAAGUAACAAUCCGUACUAAUUAUGUUAAGAGUAAUUGACUAAUGGGGUAAAUAUAGUUUAGGCAUAUGGGGUGCAUAUGGGUGGUCCAAAACUUGACCCUGAGGUCCCUAAUCUGACUCAAGAUUGUAGAAUCGUACGAUAAUUUAAAAUUAAUUUUCGAUCCUACUAACAAUCUGGAUCGUUAGCUUUGAUCCGAAUUAUAGGAUCGUACCAAUCAUACGAUAUCCACAUCGUGAUCCUAACAACUAUGAUCCGACUCUCAAACAUUCACCUUUCCCAUUAAUAAGUAAUGAAGUCUGUCAUGAACCAAAAGACAACAAAAAAAAAAAGGGGAACUCUAGGGUGCAACUCAAGCGACAUUUUUAUGUGGGGUGCAGUCUAAAAUUUCUAUUUAAAGGAAAUGUGAAUUCUCCAUUAGCAGAGGAGUACACCAACUUACCAUACUUAUUAACAGUUCCUAGAAAAUGAGGUAUAACUCUUGGUACGAUGUCGUCUGAGAGACUGAUAGGCUUGGAGUAGGCUUCUUGGAACAGGGUUCCUAUCUCUUUGAAGUCUCCAUAGAACAGCUUGUAAGGGUUCCCUUUAAAACCCUGUUGUUUGAGAUGCUUCUCAAGCUUUCUGGGUUUAAACCAUACCCAGCUCAACACUUUCCAUGCCAAUACUGAGAGAACAAGACAAGAAGAAACAAGUACAAUCAUGAAGCUGUGGGUUGUUUUCAUUUUGAAUUUUUUGGUAAUGUGUUUUGUGUUAAUUGUCAACCUUCUUAUCUCCAUACACACACACACACACACACACAUUUAUACAGGGUGCUUGGGGUGAUCAGGAUUAUUUUAGUCAUUGUACAAUUAAAUAUAGCAGCUGAUACGUUUACUUGGAGAGGAAGAUGUCUUAAGAAAAUGGAACAAAAGUUGAAAAAAUUGGCUGUUUCUGCAUAACAAGGCAGACCGGCCAAUCGAGUUCUAGUAUUCCUAAUAUCAUAUGAAUAAGUGGAUGAGGUCAGUGAAGGUGACAAGUCAAGCAAAUAUGACCCUUAAUUGGUAUUUAGCAGUAUGUAACUUAACAUGAGAGACGAAGGAACGUCCAUAUAGUACUACUACUAUAAGAUCUCAAGGCUGAAAAAUUGCUUAACUCAGAAGGAUGGAAAACUGGAAAGAGUCAAUUCCUAUCUCUUGUCAUCAUGAUACGAAUAAGGAUUAAAAAUUUGGGAAAGGAUUAAAGGAGCCAGCACUAACCAAAGCCUCUGAGAUGGUAGCAAUUGACCUGGAGUUCAUUUAAUCAUCAACGGGCAUAGACCUCCUUUUUUAGUUUUGGUAGUGUAAGUGUUUUAUUUACCGACCUCCUUUUUCUCCAUGCGUAUUUGUAAUGGCUGUGGCCGUCCGGAGAUCAUCAAGUUAUUAUAAUUGUUUACUGCAAUCACAAGCUGGUCCAUUUUUUUCGGGACAAGAGAUAAAGAGGAAAAAAAAAAACAAGAACCAAGAAGAGUUCAUUUAUCACGUUAAAGAACGAAGAAAACUCGGAAAGUAUUUGUUUAGCAUGGCAAGGGUGACCAAAAAAUUUUUUUGAUAAAGGAUCUUCUAUAACACAAGUCUCUAUUACAUCCGUGUUAUAGUCUUUGGUUCGUAUAAAUUUUGCAAUAUUUGGUGUAUCUCUUUAUUGGGUUAGUAUACGCCGAGACUUGCACCAAAAAUGUGCAAGACUUGGCACGUACACUAACAAAACACAAUUUAAUGUAAAUUUUGAUGUCAUCAAGCUAUGUAACAAGUAAUUGAGAUCCUCGAUAUCACUUUUUUCAAUGAUAAUUCUUAAAAUUAUGUCAAAUAUUUAGUUAAUUUAAUUUAUUAUGAAAUCUGAUUUUAAUUUAAAUUAACUAAACACUUAGGAUUGGUUGAAGGAGUGAUACCAAAUUGCCACCGAUUAAUUGGCAUCGAAUUUUUUUUUUUUAAAUCUGGAACAUAUACUAAAUCGAAUCAUUUCUUAAUUUCUUAAUUUCUUAUACUAAAUUAAUUUCUUAAUUCGAAUCAUUUUGAACUCGAGCGGAUACACCAAAUCAAAGAAAUACAUCGCGGCUCCACAUAACGCACCCUAAAUGAGUUACGGGAGUUCAAGUCCAGGAUAAGAGUUACGGGAGUUCAAUUCCAGACUCGAACCAAAUAAGUCAUUAAGAGUUCAGUUAUCACUGGAGUAUUCCGUGGGGACCCAAAUUGCUUAUUUGGAGUAACAAGAACUUGAAAGACCAACUGCAUACGUUGGGUUGCGCCUAACGUGUGUGGUACUAAUUCUUCGGGAGUUCCCAUGCCAUGUGUCAUGCCACGUUGGAUGCCUUGUUAGUGAGUGGGUCCCAUUUCAUUGAUGUUAGAGUGGCGUGUGGCACCCACACUAAUAGAUCCACACACACGUCGGCCAUGAUUUGACAAGAAAAUGUAAAAUUCAUAUAAUAAUUUAUAUAUCGAUUUCAACACCACAUACGAGAUUCAUAAAAUUUUAUUUUAUAAUUAAAAAUUUAAAAGUGAAUAACAUUCCAGACAAUGAAAUUACAUUCUAUUAAAUUGGACAAAAAUUAUCCGGAACAGUUUUUUUUAUGACUAUCCGGGCUCUUGGUCCGAUCGAUAUUGUGUGACUGGGACAAUGGAUAAUUAAGAUGUUUUACAAAAUAUCAAAUGUUUUUAAAUUGGUAGUAUGAACCAUUCUGAAUUCCCUAUUCAUGAACUAGUUCAACUUACGUUCGAGUUUUGAAUUACCAAACUUCCCUAAAUCUUGAGUUAUUAAAAAGAAAAAGAAGAGAAGAGAAAAAAAUGAAAGAAAUUUUAAUGUUGUUUGGAAGCCAAAAGAUCUUAGUCUAAUGAUUAAAAUUUUUAAAUUUCAAGAUUUAGAGAUCUUGAGUUCCAAAACCUUUCCCGCUUCUCAAAUCUGGUCCCUUCCCUACUAAAAAUUUUUUUUUUAAAAAAUGUUGUUUAGGAGUUUAGGAAAAAGUAAGAUAAUUUUAGAUAUCAAUGUCAAUAAAAUUUUUUCUAGCGGACAUUUAAAGAUAAAAUUAAUAUGUUAAAAAGCUUUUUUAAGUUUCGUCAAGCUUUCCUUAUCUUUCGACCGAAUUUUUUUUUUUUUUUUUGAAGUGAGUAUUUCUUCUUCUUUAAAAAAAAAAAAAAAAAAAAAAAAACUUUAGCACCAACGCUAUCCGUCAAAUCAACCGCUUCAAUUUCCUUUCUGUCCUAUAUAUCUCUCCCUAUUCUUUCUUUUUUGGCCAAAUUUCCAACUCCCAAACUAAGCCUGAAUUCAUUCUAAAGUGGUUUAUAUAUUGUGGUGCAUAAAAAAAAACGAUAAAGAAAUACCAAGGCUAUGAUUUCUUGAAGCAUAGAAAAUUAGGAUAUUAUUGUCAUACAUACAACCUCCACCGAGUUUCUAAGUUCCACACAUAAAAUGGUCUGAUUCCAAACCUGAAUGAAAUUGUGAAUCAUGUCCUCCAAGUUCUAAUUAAUCAGGAGGAACCAUCACAAGUAAAAAUAGACUACAGCUUGUGCAACAUCAAGUGAGCCCCGAACUGGGGUUGAAUUGCUAUGGUUAGGUGAGGGGCAUGAGAAUAAGAUGGCGAAAGUUCAAACGAGAAGCGCUGCAGAAUCAUAGCUAGUGCCAAUUUUGCUUCCAACAUAGCAAAGUUUUGGCCAAUGCAGAUACGAGGUCCCCAGCCAAAUGGGAAGUAUACAAUUUGGCCCUUUGUUGCACUUGAGACUCCAUCAGCGAACCUCUCUGGCUUAAAUUCCUUGACAUCCUCGCCCCAUAUUUCAGGGUCGUGAUGCAAUAAUAUCAUUGGUAGUGUCAGUAGCUGUCCAGCAGGGAUAGUUAGAUUUCCUAUUUUAGUUUCUUCUGCAACUGAUCGACCUAUAUUAGGAAAUGGUGGGUAUAGCCUUAAAACCUCAU